Molecule: unclassified non-coding RNA, 272 nt
Filed under: fungal sp.
Lineage: Eukaryota; Fungi
Description: partial internal transcribed spacer region
Rfam family: Eukaryotic small subunit ribosomal RNA (bases 1-46)
Source: RNAcentral
AAGUCGUAACAAGGUUUCCGUAGGUGAACCUGCGGAAGGAUCAUUAAAAAAAAAUACGUCGCUGGAUCCACUGUGUAUUCGUGGAUUCAGUGCUGUAUACAACCACCUGUUUACCUUUACCUGUUGCUUCCGUGGAAUUACGGGUGCUCUUCCUGUUCGCAGGCUUGAGUUACCUUCCACGGGUGUAUUUUUUAAAAACUUGUUUUGUAUUCUUGUCUGAUUUAAAUUUUUAAUAAAAGUUAAAACUUUCAACAACGGAUCUCUUGGUUCUG